This 465-nucleotide ribosomal RNA is filed under the name uncultured bacterium. RNAcentral's name for it is "bacterial SSU rRNA". It matches the Rfam family "Bacterial small subunit ribosomal RNA", at positions 330 to 792 of the family's 1533-position model. The record is from RNAcentral.
UCCAGACUCCUACGGGAGGCAGCAGUGAGGAAUAUUGGUCAAUGGGCGGAAGCCUGAACCAGCCAAGUCGCGUGAGGGAAUAAGGCCCUACGGGUCGUAAACCUCUUUUGCCGGGGAGCAAGGGCGGGGACGUGUCCCGGCCCGGAGAGUACCCGGAGAAAAAGCAUCGGCUAACUCCGUGCCAGCAGCCGCGGUAAUACGGAGGAUGCGAGCGUUAUCCGGAUUUAUUGGGUUUAAAGGGUGCGUAGUCGGGCAUUUAAGCCGGCGGUCAAAUGUCGGGGCUCAACCCCGGCCUGCCGUCGGAACUGGGUGCCUUGAGUGGGCGAGAAGUAUGCGGAAUGCGUGGUGUAGCGGUGGAAUGCAUAGAUAUCACGCAGAACCCCGAUUGCGAAGGCAGCAUACCGGCGCCCUACUGACGCUGAGGCACGAAAGUGCGGGUAUCGAACAGGAUUAGAUACCCGCGUA